ACCCGAUCCCAUCUCGAACUCGGUCGUUAAGCCCCCUUGCGCCAAUGGUACUACGUCUUAAGGCGUGGGAGAGUAGGUCGCUGCCGGGU
RNAcentral lists this ribosomal RNA (89 nucleotides) under Hyphomonas sp. The record is from RNAcentral. Lineage: Bacteria; Pseudomonadati; Pseudomonadota; Alphaproteobacteria; Hyphomonadales; Hyphomonadaceae.